This 95-nucleotide transfer RNA is filed under the name Berberis amurensis var. latifolia. RNAcentral's name for it is "tRNA-Leu". It matches the Rfam family "tRNA". From Rfam's summary of the family: Transfer RNA (tRNA) molecules are approximately 80 nucleotides in length. Their secondary structure includes four short double-helical elements and three loops (D, anti-codon, and T loops). Lineage: Eukaryota; Viridiplantae; Streptophyta; Magnoliopsida; Ranunculales; Berberidaceae. The record is from RNAcentral. RNAcentral also lists the same sequence under 1 other name.
AGGGCUAUAGCUCAGUUAGGUAGAGCACCUCGUUUUAAUAAUAAGUUUGAUCUGUUUUACCGAGAAGGUCUACGGUUCGAGUCCGUAUAGCCCUA